Molecule: ribosomal RNA, 620 nt
Filed under: uncultured bacterium
Lineage: Bacteria
Description: bacterial SSU rRNA
Rfam family: Bacterial small subunit ribosomal RNA
Source: RNAcentral
AGUCGAACGAGACCUUCGGGUCUAGUGGCGCACGGGUGCGUAACGCGUAGGCAAUCUACCCGAUACAGGGGAAUAACACGGGGAAACUCGUGCUAAUACUGCGUAAUAAAUGAGAAGGCAUCUUCUUAUUUUAAAAGCUUCGGCGGUAUCGGAAGAGCCUGCGUCCUAUUAGCUAGUUGGUAAGGUAACAGCUUACCAAGGCGACGAUAGGUAGGGGAACUGAGAGGUUGAUCCCCCACACUGGUACUGAGAUACGGACCAGACUCCUACGGGAGGCAGCAGUGAGGAAUAUUGGUCAAUGGACGGAAGUCUGAACCAGCCAUGCCGCGUGUCGGAAGACGGCCCUCUGGGUUGUAAACGGCUUUUCUUUGGGAAGAACACGCUCUUGCGAGAGCAACUGACGGUACCAAAGGAAUAAGCACCGGCUAACUACGUGCCAGCAGCCGCGGUAAUACGUAGGGUGCAAGCGUUGUCCGGAUUUAUUGGGUUUAAAGGGUGCGUAGGCGGCUAUUUAAGUCGUGGGUGAAAGCCCGUCGCUUAACGACGGAAUUGCCUGCGAUACUGGAUAGCUUGAGUAUCGUUAAGGUUGGCGGAAUGGGAGGUGUAGCGGUGAAAUGCAU